GGAAUACACAUUACCUAUUCCUUACUAUUUUUAUAUAUAUAUAUAUGUCUUAUCUUAUUUAUCUUAUUCUAGUGUUUAUUGUCUUCUCUAUGUUGAAUGUUGCAGCGUCACACCGAGACAAAUUCCUAGCUUGUGUAAUACUGUGUACUACAUGAACAAUGGCAAUAAAUAAAUCUGAUUCUGAUUCUGAUUCUGAUUCUGAAAUGUUUAAAAGGGCUGUAAGUCAAAAACCUGGUCUUAAUAUUGAAUUUAAUUAAAUCAAGAAUUUCUGAAACCAUGAAUACCUUUUAAGUAAAUAUCAUGAAAUAAACAGCAUUAUGUCAAUGUGUUUUUCAAGUAGGGGCAAGGGCAAUAAAAGUUCAUUAUAUGUUGGAUGUUGCAUGACAUUUGUUACCAUUUGCAUUUUGUAGACAACUGAUCUUCAUUUUGUCUCAAUUUUUAAUUGUUUUUAUCCGCAGGUGGUCUGUGGCAAAGACAAAACGACAACAGUGUUUCUUUGAUGCCAUUAGUUUGUACUGAAAAGGUAUAAAAAUGUCAACAUAUUAAAAUUUAAAAUAAUUUGACCUGUUGGGCCCAGUCUGGUGAAAGUAAACUUACUAACCUUUAAUGUUUCUGUGCUUUAAUGUUCCCACAUUAAUCACCGUUUAAUGUUCAGUAUACUGUAUCAGAAGAGUAAAUCAGUGGACCACUACGAGUUAUUUCACCAGUUAGCAGAAAUGAUGACGGUCACAUAAUAAGUUACUGUAUCUGCUGCAGUAAUUCUACUAUGUUUUUCCUUCUUCCCUCCCAACAGCUCCAACAAGAGAAGCAACAUUUGAGGGUACAGCACUCUUCUCAUCUAAUUUCGGGUGAUAAAUUAAAAAAUGUGCAAGGACAUCCUGUCCCGCGUGCUAGAUUGAAGCAUGCAGCACUCUGCAUCACCCGUUUGAUCAAAGAGAAACAACACCUGAUAGAGAUGUGCAACCGCCUCCGUGGUAUGAAGUCAUCUUCUGGAUUUAAAGAGUUGGAUUUGUCCACAGAACUACGAGAACAACACGGCAGUCUCAAAAAUCUGGAGCAGCAUCAGUCCCAGAUCACUUCAAAGGUCUCCAGAAACCCAUUAACUCAGUCUGACUUCAGGCAGACACAGAGUUCUGUUUAUGUGGAUCAAAAUCUGUACCAAUCAAUAGAGUCAUUGCAAUCACUGUGGGACUUGCUGGACUGUGGACUCAGUUCAUCUACUUUAUCAGAAGGUGAGCUGAAGAGAACGGAUACAACUGAGUCUGGUGCUGCUGCUGACCAGAUGAUGGUGCGUGGAAUCUCUGCUCCUGUCCACUGUCAGCCUCCAGACAAGCUCCAACAGAGGAGGAAUCUUUUUACAACAACAAAAAAGACCACCAGGACACUCAAACCCACAUGCAAGAUUAGAAAUUAUAAUAUUAAAGACUGACACAGUUUAGUAUCUAAUAUUACAUUCAUGCAACUACUGUUACAUACAGGACAGUUUGUACAGUGAAAUAAACGUAAUGCAUUUAUUUUAUGAGUAUUGCUGCGAACAUAAAGUUAUAUUUGAUAGGUGCAAAUAUUUGCUGUGUCUUCAUGCACAUUGAUCAGGAUGGCAGUGAU
Takifugu rubripes (torafugu) is the source of this 1605-nucleotide long non-coding RNA. The record is from Ensembl. Lineage: Eukaryota; Metazoa; Chordata; Actinopteri; Tetraodontiformes; Tetraodontidae.